This is a long non-coding RNA of Homo sapiens (human), 1825 nucleotides long. Ensembl annotates it as long intergenic non-protein coding RNA 1010. The record is from Ensembl. Lineage: Eukaryota; Metazoa; Chordata; Mammalia; Primates; Hominidae.
CAAAGUGCUGGGAUUACAUGCGUGAGCUACUGCGCCCAGCCUGACGUGCCUAUCAUUUUAUCCGAAAAGUGGAUGGAGUUCCAGUGGCAAAGGAAUGAACAGUGGAGACAAGAGAGUUAAAUAGGGUUUGACUCAUUAAAGUCUCCGUAUGCUGGGUUUCAAUUUUAUUCUGAGGCAAGGGCAGGGCAUCCGAGGAGUUUAAGCUCCUUAAACACAGGGAAUUGAAUGUGCUUGUGUUUUGGGAAGAUCACCCUAGCAGGAUUAGAAAGGAAGAAUCAAGCCGCUGUCGCUAUAAUACUGUCAAAACCUAAUGAGUGUCUAACAUAAGACAGCCACCAUGAAGAAGGGUGAACCUGCCUUCUAAUUAGUCAGGAAGAGAUUUCUUUCUCUUUCCUCUCUUUGUUGGUGUAAAGAGAAGAAAGGUGUAAAGUACAGAUGGGUUUCAGGCUUGCACCUGAGAAGCUGGUGGUGAUGCCUACUGAGACGAGAAUGCUAGGGGAUCAGGUCUACUUAAUGUUCCUUCCUAAUCACAGACAAAACCUAAAGUGUGUGGACCCCAACCACUCCUACAACCAUAUGCUGCAGCUAUUCAAGCCUUUGUCCUAUGUCUGGAGACUUCUUGGAAGCUGGAGCACACAAAUAGCUACAGCAAACUUGAGGAAUGGGCAUGAAUAGACUGGCUUCGGGGAACCUGCCAGCUUGGCCGUGUGGCCAAGGUAAUAGGCAAGCCAAGGCAGAGCUAGAGCUCAGAGCUGGAGGGGAAAUUAAAGCAGCAAAUGUAGAAACAUUAAGCCUGAAGAGGCGACGACGUUGAAUUCUAAAAUGCAGGCCAAAGCUCAGACUGCAAGCUGUCUGGCUGCUCCGGGUGUGCCCAGAAGUCAAAGUCCAGCAGGGGCAAAGGUGGAGGUGUGGUCCUGCACGUGGGGUGUUGGGGGGAUGUGGAAGAGGAGGUGCUUUAAGAUCCAGAGAUUCCAGCUGCCCUGGUGCACCCUUGGAAGAAUAAAAGGCUAGGAACUGGACAAGUCAGGCUCGAGUCCAAGCUGCCUGAGGAAUCGGGGAAAGAAUGGAGCUCAGAGUGGGAGGUCAGGGCAGUAUUUAAAAAUCCAGGAUAGCAGCAAAGCUGGCGGUGGCCCCUGACUCUGGUAAGGGCAGCCUGCAGCACCAUGCCAAGGGGGGCCUGACUGAUCAUGCCCUGCAUUUGCAAACAAGGAUUAGUAGGGUAUGAGUAGGAUUCUGCUGGUGCCUGGGAAGGCAGUGCCAUCUACAACUUUACAAAGUUUUAACAAAGGCCUGAAGGACACAACCUUCCCCAAAGUCCUGACGUCGCUGUUUGCUGGCAACAAAUAGAGUCAAAAGAAGAGAGGCACAGAAUGUGCCAGGGGUGUGCUGCGUACAGCCCCGAUGACCACAAGGCCUUCUUGGGUCAAGUUCUGCCAUCUCUGGUUAAGAUGGGCUCACCCUCUAGGACCCUGAUUGAGUCCUCGGACCACCAAGAGUGCCCCACCAAGAGCCUCCCUCUUCUGGUGACUCGUGCCUGCUUCCCGUGGAGAGCUCCAGAAGGGAGGAAACUGUGAGGAGGUGGAGAACGUGGCAGGGAUCCUAACUUUCUUACUGAAGGAAGUUCUUCACAAGUACCCAUCUGCCUUCAGGGAAGAAAACAUAACUCAUUUUGGUCUUUCAAAUUCAGUUCUCAAAACCAAAUCCUGUUGUCAGCAAUCUGUGUCCCAACGCCUUCUUCAGCAACAGCAUUUUCCCUGUGGAAUUAGUUUCCAAUGUUCUUUCUUAAAUAAACCACUGAAGAUUAAAAGGAAUCCAGAUACCCACC